RNAcentral lists this ribosomal RNA (200 nucleotides) under uncultured bacterium. Its description in RNAcentral is "partial 16S ribosomal RNA". It matches the Rfam family "Bacterial small subunit ribosomal RNA", at positions 30 to 232 of the family's 1533-position model. The record is from RNAcentral.
AUUGAACGCUGGCGGCAUGCUUUACACAUGCAAGUCGAACGGCAGCGCGGGGCAACCUGGCGGCGAGUGGCGAACGGGUGAGUAAUACAUCGGAACGUGCCCAAUCGUGGGGGAUAACGCAGCGAAAGCUGUGCUAAUACCGCAUGAGAUCUACGGAUGAAAGCAGGGGACCGCAAGGCCUUGCGCGAAUGGAGCGGCCG